CUUGGUUAAUGCAGAUUUUAUUCCUUUCUAUUUUUACAAUUAGGUUACUAAAUCUCUCAGAAUCUGCAUCUCAAUAAACAGUUGCAAAAGAUCAUCACUGUCAGAACAUUUUAAUUUUGCUCAUAAUUGAAUGGCUGAGCAAGUUGUAUCAAUAAUAGUUCUGAAAACUGCUGGGUUGUUAUUUGUUAAUUCAGAAAUAUAAUUCUUUGAACUGUUCUGCUGCUGUAAAUUUUAUAACUAUCUCUAUUACAGACCCUUCCUCGUCCUCCUCCUCCUUCUCCUCCCACUGGGAUUUGGAAAAAAUAAAAAUGGACGGGCCAACAAGACAGUGUAGCAACAACCAGAGGAAUUCUUACAGAAGGAUGGAUGGACAGAGGGAUGGGCGUGGUGAUAGAUAGUAAUAGAUUCAGUGAUUGAUAGUGCGCUGUUAGUGAAUUGUUUAAAGCAAAGUCCAUUGGCUCAAUGCUCAAAUGCUAUUGCUGUCAACAGCUGCAUGGUCAAUAGUGAGUGACAGAAUUACUCACUGCUGUGCUGAAUAAAGUGCUUACAGUACA
This is a long non-coding RNA of Sander lucioperca (pikeperch), 554 nucleotides long. RefSeq lists it as uncharacterized. The record is from RefSeq and is a predicted model, not a curated record. NCBI's taxonomy places the organism in Eukaryota, Metazoa, Chordata, Actinopteri, Perciformes, Percidae. The transcript has 3 exons.